UACGUAGGGGGCAAGCGUUGUCCGGAUUUAUUGGGCGUAAAGAGCGUGUAGGCGGCUUUACAGGUCCGUUGUGAAAACUCGAGGCUCAACCUCGAGACGCCGGUGGAAACCGUAAAGCUAGAGUCCGGAAGAGGAGAGUGGAAUUCCUGGUGUAGCAGUGAAAUGCGUAGAUAUCGUGAGGAACACCAGAGGCGAAGGCGGUUACCUGGACAGUUACUGACGCUCAGGCACGAAAGCAUGGGGAGCAAAAGGG
This 253-nucleotide ribosomal RNA is filed under the name uncultured bacterium. Its description in RNAcentral is "partial 16S ribosomal RNA". It matches the Rfam family "Bacterial small subunit ribosomal RNA", at positions 524 to 776 of the family's 1533-position model. The record is from RNAcentral.